UACGGAGGGGGCUAGCGUUGUUCGGAAUUACUGGGCGUAAAGCGCGCGUAGGCGGACCUGCAAGUCGGGGGUGAAAGCCCGAGGCUCAACCUCGGAACUGCCUUCGAUACUGCGAGUCUCGAGUCCGGGAGAGGUGAGUGGAAUUCCUAGUGUAGAGGUGAGAUUCGUAGAUAUUAGGAAGAACACCAGUGGCGAAGGCGGCUCACUGGCCCGGUACUGACGCUGAGGCGCGAAAGCGUGGGGAGCAAACAGG
This 253-nucleotide ribosomal RNA is filed under the name uncultured bacterium. RNAcentral's name for it is "partial 16S ribosomal RNA". It matches the Rfam family "Bacterial small subunit ribosomal RNA", at positions 524 to 776 of the family's 1533-position model. The record is from RNAcentral.